CCUACGGGAGGCAGCAGUAGGGAAUCUUCCACAAUGGACGAAAGUCUGAUGGAGCAACGCCGCGUGAGUGAAGAAGGGUUUCGGCUCGUAAAGCUCUGUUGGUAGUGAAGAAAGAUAGAGGUAGUAACUGGCCUUUAUUUGACGGUAAUUACUUAGAAAGUCACGGCUAACUACGUGCCAGCAGCCGCGGUAAUACGUAGGUGGCAAGCGUUGUCCGGAUUUAGUGGGCGUAAAGCGAGUGCAGGCGGUUCAAUAAGUCUGAUGUGAAAGCCUUCGGCCAAACCGGAGAAUUGCAUCAGAAACUGUUGAACUGGAGUGCAGAAGAGGAGAGUGGAACUCCAUGUGUAGCGGUGGAAUGCGUAGAUAUAUGGAAGAACACCAGUGGCGAAGGCGGCUCUCUGGUCUGCAACUGACGCUGAGGCUCGAAAGCAUGGGUAGCGAACAGGAUUAGAUACCCUAGUAGUC
RNAcentral lists this ribosomal RNA (465 nucleotides) under uncultured bacterium. RNAcentral's name for it is "partial 16S ribosomal RNA". It matches the Rfam family "Bacterial small subunit ribosomal RNA", at positions 338 to 795 of the family's 1533-position model. The record is from RNAcentral.